UACGGAGGAGGCAAGCGUUAUCCGGAAUUACUGGGCGUAAAGCGUCCGUAGGUGGUUGACAAAGUCUGCUGUCAAAGGGUGGGGCUUAACCUCAUAAAGGCAGUGGAAACUGGUGAGCUAGAGUGCGGUAGGGGUAAGGGGAAUUCCCAGUGUAGCGGUGAAAUGCGUAGAGAUUGGGAAGAACAUCGGUGGCGAAAGCGCCUUGCUGGGCCUGCAAUGACCCUGAGGGACGAAAGCUAGGGGAGCGAAAGGG
This 253-nucleotide ribosomal RNA is filed under the name uncultured bacterium. Its description in RNAcentral is "partial 16S ribosomal RNA". It matches the Rfam family "Bacterial small subunit ribosomal RNA", at positions 524 to 776 of the family's 1533-position model. The record is from RNAcentral.